GGCAAUUCCUAUGAAUCCCUUUGCAAUUUCAACAUCUCUGAAUAUGCCUGUUCCUCAACAACUCUUCCGUCAGCGGACAACUUGGUGACGAUCCUGAAAUGCCAAUUGUCGAGCAAAAAGACUUACUCAACAGAAAUGUGGAAGCUGUUCUUCCAAAACAAUGCUGCUGUUCUGGACCAGGCUCUUCUGAAUUACUCCAGCAUGAACCCCAACAUCAGCAGUCCAGCUAUGCCACAGGUCCUUGAUGCCAUUGGAGAUGUCAAAAUCAACAACUUCAUUAAUGCACAGCUGAACGACGCCAGUUUCGUGGACAAGUUGUUCCAGAAGAU
This is a long non-coding RNA of Salvelinus fontinalis (brook trout), 329 nucleotides long. RefSeq lists it as uncharacterized. The transcript has 3 exons. Lineage: Eukaryota; Metazoa; Chordata; Actinopteri; Salmoniformes; Salmonidae. The record is from RefSeq and is a predicted model, not a curated record.